RNAcentral lists this ribosomal RNA (766 nucleotides) under uncultured Granulicatella sp. RNAcentral describes it as "bacterial SSU rRNA". It matches the Rfam family "Bacterial small subunit ribosomal RNA", at positions 28 to 776 of the family's 1533-position model. Lineage: Bacteria; Bacillati; Bacillota; Bacilli; Lactobacillales; Carnobacteriaceae. The record is from RNAcentral.
GACGAACGCGGCGGCGUGCCUAAUACAUGCAAGUCGAACGAGAGCGACCGGUGCUUGCACUGGUCAAUCUAGUGGCGAACGGGUGAGUAACACGUGGGUAACCUGCCCAUCAGAGGGGGAUAACAUUCGGAAACGGAUGCUAAAACCGCAUAGGUCCUUUAACCGCAUGGUUGAAGGAGGAAAAGAGGCGCAAGCUUCUGCUGAUGGAUGGACCCGCGGUGCAUUAGCUAGUUGGUGAGGUAACGGCUCACCAAGGCCGUGAUGCAUAGCCGACCUGAGAGGGUGAUCGGCCACAUUGGGACUGAGACACGGCCCAAACUCCUACGGGAGGCAGCAGUAGGGAAUCUUCCGCAAUGGACGCAAGUCUGACGGAGCAACGCCGCGUGAGUGAAGAAGGUUUUCGGAUCGUAAAACUCUGUUGUUAGAGAAGAACAAGUGCUAGAGUAACUGUUAGCGCCUUGACGGUAUCUAACCAGAAAGCCACGGCUAACUACGUGCCAGCAGCCGCGGUAAUACGUAGGUGGCAAGCGUUGUCCGGAUUUAUUGGGCGUAAAGCGAGCGCAGGCGGUUCCUUAAGUCUGAUGUGAAAGCCCCCGGCUCAACCGGGGAGGGUCAUUGGAAACUGGGGAACUUGAGUGCAGAAGAGGAGAGUGGAAUUCCAUGUGUAGCGGUGAAAUGCGUAGAUAUAUGGAGGAACACCAGUGGCGAAGGCGACUCUCUGGUCUGUAACUGACGCUGAGGCUCGAAAGCGUGGGUAGCAAACAGG